Molecule: ribosomal RNA, 904 nt
Filed under: uncultured bacterium
Lineage: Bacteria
Description: bacterial SSU rRNA
Rfam family: Bacterial small subunit ribosomal RNA
Source: RNAcentral
GGCUCAGAACGAACGCUGGCGGCGUGCCUAACACAUGCAAGUCGAGCGCGAAAAGGGCAACCUGAGUAGAGCGGCGCACGGGUGCGUAACACGUGGAUAAUCUGCCCUUGAGUCUGGGAUAACCUUCCGAAAGGUCGGCUAAUACCAGAUAAGCCUACGGAGACUUCGGUCUCAGAAGGAAAAGUGGACCUCUAUUUAUAAGUUCACACUCGAGGAUGAGUCCGCGGCCCAUCAGUUAGUUGGCGGGGUAAUGGCCCACCAAGACUACGACGGGUAGCUGGUCUGAGAGGACGAUCAGCCACACUGGAACUGAGACACGGUCCAGACUCCUACGGGAGGCAGCAGUGGGGAAUUUUCCACAAUGGGCGAAAGCCUGAUGGAGCAACGCCGCGUGUGUGAUGAAGGUCUUCGGAUUGUAAAGCACUUUCGACCGGGACGAAAAACCUCUGGCUAACAUCCAGGGGCCUGACGGUACCGGGAGAAGAAGCACCGGCUAACUCUGUGCCAGCAGCCGCGGUAAUACAGAGGGUGCAAGCGUUGUUCGGAAUUAUUGGGCGUAAAGCGCGUGUAGGCGGCUUGAUAAGUCAGAUGUGAAAUCCCUCGGCUUAACCGAGGAAGUGCGUCUGAAACUAUCGAGCUUGAGUGCCGGAGAGGGUGGCGGAAUUCCGCAAGUAGAGGUGAAAUUCGUAGACAUGCGGAGGAACACCGGUGGCGAAGGCGGCCACCUGGACGGCAACUGACGCUGAGACGCGAAAGCGUGGGGAGCAAACAGGAUUAGAUACCCUGGUAGUCCACGCCGUAAACGAUGAGAACUAGGUGUCGUGGGUGUUGACCCCCGCGGUGCCGCAGCUAACGCAUUAAGUUCUCCGCCUGGGAAGUACGGCCGCAAGGGUAAAACUCAAAG